This 102-nucleotide non-coding RNA is filed under the name Anoxybacteroides amylolyticum. Its description in RNAcentral is "Anoxybacillus amylolyticus Guanine sequence". It matches the Rfam family "Purine riboswitch aptamer". From Rfam's summary of the family: Riboswitches are metabolite binding domains within certain messenger RNAs that serve as precision sensors for their corresponding targets. Allosteric rearrangement of mRNA structure is mediated by ligand binding, and this results in modulation of gene expression. A class of riboswitches that selectively recognises guanine and becomes saturated at concentrations as low as 5 nM. Lineage: Bacteria; Bacillati; Bacillota; Bacilli; Caryophanales; Anoxybacillaceae. The record is from Rfam by way of RNAcentral.
ACGAAUAUUGUCAAAAUACGUCGUAUAAUCUCGGGAAUAUGGCCCGAGAGUUUCUACCAAGCUACCGUAAAUAGCUUGACUACGAGGUAUAAUGGAGAUUGA